AUACGUAGGGUGCGAGCGUUGUCCGGAAUUACUGGGCGUAAAGAGCUCGUAGGUGGUUUGUCGCGUCGUCUGUGAAAUUCCGGGGCUUAACUCCGGGCGUGCAGGCGAUACGGGCAUAACUUGAGUACUGUAGGGGAGACUGGAAUUCCUGGUGUAGCGGUGAAAUGCGCAGAUAUCAGGAGGAACACCGGUGGCGAAGGCGGGUCUCUGGGCGGUAACUGAGGCUGAGGAGCGAAAGCAUGGGUAGCGAACAGGAUUAGAUACCCUGGUAGUCCAUGCCGUAAACGGUGGGCGCUAGGUGUAGGGGUCUUCCACGACUUCUGUGCCGUAGCUAACGCAUUAAGCGCCCCGCCUGGGGAGUACGGCCGCAAGGCUAAAACUCAAAUGAAUUGGCGGGG
This 398-nucleotide ribosomal RNA is filed under the name uncultured bacterium. RNAcentral's name for it is "partial 16S ribosomal RNA". It matches the Rfam family "Bacterial small subunit ribosomal RNA", at positions 523 to 918 of the family's 1533-position model. The record is from RNAcentral.